Molecule: ribosomal RNA, 1333 nt
Filed under: uncultured bacterium
Lineage: Bacteria
Description: bacterial SSU rRNA
Rfam family: Bacterial small subunit ribosomal RNA
Source: RNAcentral
GACGAACGCUGGCGGCGCGCCUAACACAUGCAAGUCGAACGAGAGAUGAGGAGCUUGCUCUUCAAAUCGAGUGGCGAACGGGUGAGUAACGCGUGAGGAACCUGCCUCAAAGAGGGGGACAACAGUUGGAAACGACUGCUAAUACCGCAUAAGCCCACGGCUCGGCAUCGAGCAGAGGGAAAAGGAGCAAUCCGCUUUGAGAUGGCCUCGCGUCCGAUUAGCUAGUUGGUGAGGUAACGGCCCACCAAGGCGACGAUCGGUAGCCGGACUGAGAGGUUGAACGGCCACAUUGGGACUGAGACACGGCCCAGACUCCUACGGGAGGCAGCAGUGGGGAAUAUUGCACAAUGGGGGAAACCCUGAUGCAGCGACGCCGCGUGGAGGAAGAAGGUCUUCGGAUUGUAAACUCCUGUUGUUGAGGAAGAUAAUGACGGUACUCAACAAGGAAGUGACGGCUAACUACGUGCCAGCAGCCGCGGUAAAACGUAGGUCACAAGCGUUGUCCGGAAUUACUGGGUGUAAAGGGAGCGCAGGCGGGAGAACAAGUUGGAAGUGAAAUCCAUGGGCUCAACCCAUGAACUGCUUUCAAAACUGUUUUUCUUGAGUAGUGCAGAGGUAGGCGGAAUUCCCGGUGUAGCGGUGGAAUGCGUAGAUAUCGGGAGGAACACCAGUGGCGAAGGCGGCCUACUGGGCACCAACUGACGCUGAGGCUCGAAAGUGUGGGUAGCAAACAGGAUUAGAUACCCUGGUAGUCCACACCGUAAACGAUGAUUACUAGGUGUUGGAGGAUUGACCCCUUCAGUGCCGCAGUUAACACAAUAAGUAAUCCACCUGGGGAGUACGACCGCAAGGUUGAAACUCAAAGGAAUUGACGGGGGCCCGCACAAGCAGUGGAGUAUGUGGUUUAAUUCGACGCAACGCGAAGAACCUUACCAAGUCUUGACAUCCCUUGACGAUGCUGGAAACAGUAUUUCUCUUCGGAGCAAGGAGACAGGUGGUGCAUGGUUGUCGUCAGCUCGUGUCGUGAGAUGUUGGGUUAAGUCCCGCAACGAGCGCAACCCUUAUGGUCAGUUACUACGCAAGAGGACUCUGGCCAGACUGCCGUUGACAAAACGGAGGAAGGUGGGGAUGACGUCAAAUCAUCAUGCCCUUUAUGACUUGGGCUACACACGUACUACAAUGGCGUUAAACAAAGAGAAGCAAGACCGCGAGGUGGAGCAAAACUCAGAAACAACGUCCCAGUUCGGACUGCAGGCUGCAACUCGCCUGCACGAAGUCGGAAUUGCUAGUAAUCGCGGAUCAGCAUGCCACGGUGAAUACGUUCCCGGGCCUU